AAGGUGCCGCAGCAAUGCGGUCUCAGCAAAGAGUCCCUCCCGACUGUUUACCAAAAACACAGCACUUUGCCAACUCGUAAGAGGAAGUAUAAGGUGUGACGCCUGCCCGGUGCUCGAAGGUUAAGAGGAUGCGUCAGUCGCAAGAUGAAGCGUUGAAUUGAAGCCCGAGUAAACGGCGGCCGUAACUAUAACGGUCCUAAGGUAGCGAAAUUCCUUGUCGGUUAAAUACCGACCUGCAUGAAUGGCGUAACGAGAUGGGAGCUGUCUCAACCAGAGAUUCAGUGAAAUUGUAGUGGAGGUGAAAAUUCCUCCUACCCGCGGCAAGACGGAAAGACCCCGUGGACCUUUACUACAACUUAGCACUGCUAAUGGGAAUAUCAUGCGCAGGAUAGGUGGGAGGCUUUGAAGUAAGGGCUUUGGCUCUUAUGGAGCCAUCCUUGAGAUACCACCCUUGAUGUUUCUGUUAGCUAACUGGCCUGUGUUAUCCACAGGCAGGACAAUGCUUGGUGGGU
Molecule: ribosomal RNA, 512 nt
Filed under: Helicobacter pylori
Lineage: Bacteria; Pseudomonadati; Campylobacterota; Epsilonproteobacteria; Campylobacterales; Helicobacteraceae
Description: partial 23S ribosomal RNA
Rfam family: Bacterial large subunit ribosomal RNA
Source: RNAcentral